CAGUUAUAAAAAAUUAACCCAGCUAACUUUUAUUGGCUUGUUUUCUUAGACGACCAACAUGGCGCUCCCCUGAACCCCUGGACCACCAAGUUAUGUUGCGUGACAGGAGUGACUGAAAUGUGUGGAAAGGACUGCUCUCAAGGGAUUGUUUAAGAAGUAAAUGAGAAAACAUCUCUCACCUAUGAUGAUAGGUCAUCUAGGAGAUAUCAAAACCUUCAGAAAUCAGACAAAAUGAAGGAAGUUCUUGGGAUGUGAGAUCUGAGUAAAGCAGUCAUGGGGAGGAUUCCCACAGCACUGGAAAAAAUUAGAAGAAGCAGCAAGAUGAUAUCAGAAACAAUCUGCCUAUUGCACCAUGUUUUCUUCUAACAACAGCCUGCUCUUCCAACCUACUGUGUAUGCUGCGUCUGAUUCUUAGAUGACACUACGUUUGACAAUAACUAUACCAAUGGACUUAAUGGAAUUUCAAAGAACUCCUUAUACCUACAAGUGCAGCAAACAUGUACCAGAUGGGAACUACGUGUCUGGCUGCCCCUUACUAUACUGUUCAAAAUGGUUACAUAAGAAAGAAAUAGUCAAAAUAUGCAAAUGCAAAAUUCUAAGAAAGAAUUACAAGCAAUAAUAAUUAGAGGGGAAAAUGAUAGGUAUUAGCAUUUUUAUAUCCAUCAGAGUUGGAGAUAAAAGAUUUUUAAAACUUUGUUUCAGUCAGCUUUCUCACUGCUGAGCAAAUAAUUGUAAAGGAGGAAAAGUUAAUUGUAAAGGAGGAACCUUUACAACCAGAAUAAUUGUAAAAGAGGAAAAGUUUAUUUGGUGGCUCAUGGUUUCAGAGGUCUCAGUCCAUAGACAGCCGGUUUCAUUCCUUGGGACUAGCAGUGAGGCAUAACAUCAUGGUGGAAAGAUGUGACAUAGGGAAGCAGCUCACAUGAUGAUCAGAGAGCAGAAAGAGAAAUCUCCACUUGCCAGAAACAAAUACAUACCCCAAAGCCACACCCCCAAUGCCCAUCUCCUUCAGCCACAUCCCACCUGCCUUCAGUUACACUCAAUUAAUCCCAUGGGGUGAUUAAUUCACUGACUGGGGUAAGGCUCUAACCCAAUCACUUGUUCUCUGAACUUUCUUGCAUUGCCUCACACAUAAGCUUUGUGGGACACCAACCAUAAUAAAUUUACAUACAUUUUUAUGCAGGAAAUAUCACAGA
RNAcentral lists this long non-coding RNA (1193 nucleotides) under Ictidomys tridecemlineatus (thirteen-lined ground squirrel). RNAcentral's name for it is "lncRNA (ENSSTOG00000032806.1)". Lineage: Eukaryota; Metazoa; Chordata; Mammalia; Rodentia; Sciuridae. The record is from RNAcentral.